This 313-nucleotide long non-coding RNA is filed under the name Elaeis guineensis (African oil palm). RNAcentral's name for it is "long non-coding RNA (EGUI_LNC044349)". The record is from RNAcentral. Lineage: Eukaryota; Viridiplantae; Streptophyta; Magnoliopsida; Arecales; Arecaceae.
UCCUGUGACUCCUCACUAUGACUACUCUAGCCAAGAUUUUGCUAAAUUGAAAUACGACUGUACACAGCUCCUAAACUGGAGUGGUCAAUCCCAUCUUGACACACGCACCGACAAGUCAAGUACUUGACUACACCCAGCAGCCUUCCGUCACUGAAUUAGAAAUUCAGGUAGUCCAGUGCCUAAGUGCAGUGAGUUGCUUGCAAGUCACCGUGGCGGUCUCAGGUCGGAGGGAUAUUUAUACCCAUAUCCCAUCGGAGCAAAUCUUGACAGCAGAAAUAGCUCCGGAGUCGGUCAUGUUCAGUACAGAUAUACC